UACGUAGGGGGCAAGCGUUGUCCGGAAUCAUUGGGCGUAAAGAGCGCGUAGGCGGUCCGGUAAGUCCGCUGUGAAAGUCAAGGGCUCAACCCUUGAAUGCCGGUGGAUACUGUCGGGCUAGAGUCCGGAAGAGGCGAGUGGAAUUCCUGGUAUAGCGGUGAAAUGCGCAGAUAUCAGGAGGAACACCAAUGGCGAAGGCAGCUCGCUGGGACGGUACUGACGCUGAGGCGCGAAAGCGUGGGGAGCAAACAGG
RNAcentral lists this ribosomal RNA (253 nucleotides) under uncultured bacterium. Its description in RNAcentral is "partial 16S ribosomal RNA". It matches the Rfam family "Bacterial small subunit ribosomal RNA", at positions 524 to 776 of the family's 1533-position model. The record is from RNAcentral.